This 271-nucleotide ribosomal RNA is filed under the name uncultured Oscillospiraceae bacterium. RNAcentral describes it as "partial 16S ribosomal RNA". It matches the Rfam family "Bacterial small subunit ribosomal RNA", at positions 72 to 339 of the family's 1533-position model. Lineage: Bacteria; Bacillati; Bacillota; Clostridia; Eubacteriales; Oscillospiraceae. The record is from RNAcentral.
UUUUCGGACAAUGGAAGAGGGCGUUUAGUGGCGGACGGGUGAGUAACGCGUGAGCAAUCUACCUUUCAGAGGGGGACAACAGUUGGAAACGACUGCUAAUACCGCAUAACGUAUCUUUGCGGCAUCGUAGAGAUACCAAAGAUUUAUCGCUGAGAGAUGAGCUCGCGUCCAAUUAGCUAGAUGGCGGGGUAAAGGCCCACCAUGGCGACGAUUGGUAGCCGGACUGAGAGGUUGAACGGCCACAUUGGGACUGAGACACGGCCCAGACUCC